GGUAGAAGUACAGAGUGUCGCUGUGCCAAGAAUGAUUUGCCCACAAUUACAGACGCGACCUACUUGUUGCAGUUAGAUUGUAGAAUGGCAACUAAUUGUAGGCCGGCGGCCACUCUAUUCAAUAACGGAAUCGGACUGGUUUGUGGGUAAAUUGUCUUGGCACAGCAACCCGAUGUGCUUGUCAAGCC
RNAcentral lists this microRNA precursor (188 nucleotides) under Picea abies (Norway spruce). RNAcentral's name for it is "miR11411b stem-loop (pab-MIR11411b)". Lineage: Eukaryota; Viridiplantae; Streptophyta; Pinopsida; Pinales; Pinaceae. The record is from miRBase by way of RNAcentral.